ACAAAGCGUGAGACGACAGCUGCAUCUCGGCCGGCGCUGCAUGUCAUCCUCCGGUAGCGAUCGAUCGGAUUAGUUCACGCUGCACUCGAUGGAGGGGCUGAUGGUGUAGGGGAUGCUGACGCCGCACUUGGAGGGGAUGCUGGCGGCAUUGCCGGCGUUGAGGCCGCUGAUGCUGCCGGCCACGUUCUUGAGGCAGUUGCAGGCGGUGCGGCGGUCGGCGGUGGUGGUGGCGGCGGAGUUGAGGCUCCUGACGCCGCUGCAGCAGGCCGCCGACGGGCCGGAGCCGCCGCGGGCGUAGCUGAGGCAGGGCGACACGGCGGAGUUGACCUGGCCGCAGCUGAUGGCGGCCAUGGUGGUGUGUGGGCCCGCCAGGAGCAGAGCUGCCACGAGGGCGACCAACACCAGCUGUGCACGGGCCAUCUCGAUCUUGGUCGUGUGUGCUGACGAUCGAUCGACUUUGCUGCUGCUGCUGGUGUGUGGUGCUCGUUUGCUGCUGCAGGUGAGAUCGAUCGAUGAGAAUUCCCGGGAAUGUAGGGGGCUUUAAAUAGCUAUGAUUUCAUCUGUGCCGAUGCAUCGACCAAGUCAAAUGUAGUUACUACGUGGAAUAUAUAGUCCACCUAUAAUUAGAGAACAUAUCCUAUACACACAAGCUUUACUUAUGUACACACUAUACAUAUCAAUUAGCAAAUGUCAUAAAAAAUUUUAGAAAAAAUUGGAC
Molecule: small RNA, 718 nt
Filed under: Oryza sativa Japonica Group (Japanese rice)
Lineage: Eukaryota; Viridiplantae; Streptophyta; Magnoliopsida; Poales; Poaceae
Description: sRNA Os12g0114900
Source: RNAcentral